GAGACGUGACCACCCGCCCCGCAUGGGGCCCCAAUCCCAGCUGCUUGAUCCGGCUCAGCCCCGAGGUGUUUGCAGCAGCUCUUUAUGAAAGUCCAGCCAUCUGUUACCUGCGUUGCUUCCUGGGGAGGGAUAGUCCACCUGGAGGCAUUCGGAGACCCAGUGAUUGUGCUCCGCGGAGCCUGGGCUGUGCCCCGCGUUGACUGCCUCAUAGAUACCCUACGAACCCCAAAUGCCAGCUGCAUGAGAAGAGGGACUCACCUUCUGGUUCCCUGCCUGGAAGAGGAAGAGCUGGCAUUGCACAGGAGAUGGCUGGACAUGUCUGAGGCACUGCCCUGCCCGGGCAAGGAGACCCCCACCCCAGGCUGCAGGCUGGGGGCCCUGUAUUGGGCCUGUGUCCACAAUGAUCCCACCCAGCUCCAAGCCAUACUGGAUGGUGGGGUCUCCCCAGAGGAGGCCACCCAGGUGGACAGUAAUGGGAGGGUGAGAUGUCCUGGCUUCCCAGAACAGCUGAGGGUAUCUUUACAUCCCCACCACACCGUCCUGGCCUGGCUCCCUGAGAGGGGUUCAGGGGCAAUACUUCCUGCAGUCCUAAGGAGGAAGGGAAUGGUUAAGGGUGGGUCUUCACAGGGUUUGGGGCAGGCUCUGGGACAGAUAUGGGUUUAGAGGGUGCAAGGGGCCCUGGGGUGGCCCAGGGGGAAAGCAGGGGAUCUGAGCUGCCCCUCCCUCAGACAGGCCUCAUGGUUGCAUGCUACCACGGCUUCCAGAGUGUUGUGGCCCUGCUCAGCCACUGUCCUUUCCUUGAUGUGAACCAGCAGGACAAAGGAGGGGACACGGCCCUCAUGUUGGCUGCCCAAGCAGGUGUGAGGCUGCUGCACCCCACUUCCGACAGCCCCCUUUUGAUGCAGACAGGGCCUCAGCCCCACCCUUGUUGCACGGUGUUCUACACCAGACUCUGUCAUGCUGGGUGGAGGGUGGUUUGGGAGCUUCAUCACCCCCUUUCCUGGGGACCAAGCUUACCCUUGAUGCCCUGCAGGCCACGUGCCUCUGGUGAGUCUCCUGCUCAACUACUAUGUGGGCCUGGACCUGGAACGCCGGGACCAGCGGGGGCUCACGGCGUUAAUGAAGGCUGCCAUGCGGAACCGCUGUGAGUGCGUGGCCACCCUCCUCAUGGCAGGUGUGUGGGGCCUGGACCGGGGUGUGUGGCCUCCAGUCCCUCCUCCAAGCCUGCCCACCAGACACUAAGUCAGCUGUGAUUAUUUGCAGAAAGGAGAGAGGUGGAGAUGGAGGAUCAAUCUAGUUCACCUUCCUGGAGUGGGGGCAUAUGCUUUGGGCUUGGUACAAUCAACCAAGUCCUGCUAUUGAUAGCUCAGACAUUGUGUGUGGAGGUCCCAGGAAGGAAAGUGUGGGAGGGGAACCUAGCCCAGCUGGAAAAUCUAACACGAAAAAAGGCUGGCAUCUGGAACCAGCCCCUGUUCCUAGCUGAGUGGCUUCCCUCUCUGGGCCUCACCAGUAUUGUGAGGGUGUUAGCUUUCCCUGGGACUACCUCCAACUCUGACAAGCCAGGCUUCCAGGGGAUCCAGGGAAGUGUCGUUGAGGCCUGUGGCUCUGUGGGGUCGUUCAGGGGGAGGUGCGGUGAAGUCCACAUUGUCCAUGGAGUUGUUUGGGGGCCCUCCUUCCCCGCAGUGGGGCUGCCCUCUGCUGGUCACUCUGGGGGACCCCUGCCUCCACUUUUCCCUUCCCCACACACCCCACUGGGUUUGGAGUGAAAAAGGAGUGAAUGAAAAAGGAGGGCGCUCUACACCCUUUCUUUUGUCUUAGAGUGACUGCUCCUCCCACAACCCCAAGAUGGGAGAGGGAGAUGGUGAGAAGAGAAGAACCAGGAGAGGGAACCAGCCGAUCAUCCCCACCCACCUGCCCCAGAGGGUGCAGCUCAGGCCUCUGCCUGUCCUGGGCAGCCUGCACCGCUGCUCUGCUCAGCUCCUUGGAUUGAGGAGAUCCCUAUUCUGCCCCAGGUGGAGCCCCACAAUAGGUCUCUCUGAAGUCUUUUCCCCUCUCUGGACCUAAGUGUCUUAAUCUCUCUUAAACAGGAGGUUGCAACACUGGCCUCCCCGAUUCCACCUGCAACAGGAUGGGACUCUAUGGCUUCAAAUGUAACCCACAUCAGUCUUGCUCCUAAAGAACCUGCCCUUCCACAAAUCACCAACCCCUAUCCCGCCCCAUGUCACCCCCUGUGCUCCUUCGCAGGUGCUGACCUGACAGCAGUGGACCCUGUUCGGGGCAAGACGGCCCUGGAAUGGGCAGUGCUGACCGACAGCUUCGACACCGUGUGGAGGAUUCGGCAGCUGCUGAGGCGGCCCCAAGUGGAGCAGCUUAGCCAGCACUACAAGCCCGAGUGGCCGGCCUUGUCUGGGCUCGUGGCCCAGGCCCAGGCCCAGGCCCAGGUUGCCCCUUCACUCCUAGAGCGGCUGCAGGCUACCUUGAGCCUCCCCUUUGCCCCGUCUCCUCAGGAGGGGGGUGUUCUGGACCACCUUGUGACUGCCACAACCAGCCUGGCCAGUCCCUUCGUCACCACUGCCUGCCACACUCUGUGCCCUGACCAUCCACCUUCGCUGGGCACCCGAAGCAAGUCCGUGCCAGAGCUGUUAGGUACUGCCCCGCCCCCUCCCCUGGUUCCCCAGUCCCCGCCAGGGAGUCCCCAGAGGUCCCCGUGGGUCUUCGUCCCCUACCAGAGCCCUCAGGGCAUAUUGAGCAAGUGCCUUCAGUGGCUACAACCCAGGGAUAGCACCAGCCCCAGGCCCCAAGUCCCCAAGAUCCUCCUCUCCAAGGCAUCCUCAUCCUCCCGCCAGUGCCAGCCGAAGCCCAGUCCUGCAGGACACCAAAGUCUGGCCCUUCCUCUCUGGCGAUACCAGGAGCUCAGGAUAGAGAAGAGGAAACAGGAGGAGGAGGCCAGAAUGGCACAGAAGUAGGGGAAGAUGGGAUAGGACAGGCUGGGAACAGGUAAUCAGGCCCCUCCCAGGGCUUCUUUCCCCUCUGGAGUGCCUCCGGCCUCCCCAUCCACCUCUGCCUAAGUAAAUCUGCUCUCAACCUAUAUAUAUACAAGGUCAUUCAUUCUAGCAUUGUUUGCAAGAGUGAAAGAGUGGAAACACCCGAAGUGUCCAUCAGUAAGGGACAGGCUAGAUUGAUUACGGAUGUAAUUGCUGUCCAUCCAUACAGAGCAUACUCUACAGUGUAUUCUAAAAUAAGACUAAGGAAGCUGUUUAUAUUCUGAUAUGAAACUACCAUCAAGAUGUAUAAAGUAAAAAUAACUAAGGAGUGGAA
RNAcentral lists this small RNA (3318 nucleotides) under Pan troglodytes (chimpanzee). RNAcentral's name for it is "retained intron". Lineage: Eukaryota; Metazoa; Chordata; Mammalia; Primates; Hominidae. The record is from RNAcentral.